This is a long non-coding RNA of Hydractinia symbiolongicarpus, 461 nucleotides long. RefSeq lists it as uncharacterized. The record is from RefSeq and is a predicted model, not a curated record. NCBI's taxonomy places the organism in Eukaryota, Metazoa, Cnidaria, Hydrozoa, Anthoathecata, Hydractiniidae. The transcript has 3 exons.
GACUUGCUGUAUCAUGCGUGCGCGACGGUGCUAGAAGGAACAUUAUAACAUCUCUCUAUUCCAAUUCGAAACACGCUGCUGAGCCUGUUUAAAAACACGAAAGAAUCUUGUAUCUUGAUCUAAAACUGUAAUACAAAGAAGUGCAAAUAUCGUAACAAAUAUCUGUGUAUGGUAUACAAAAUAAAAUCAGUAUCUAUAUAAUAAUACGCCAGUCCGGUGUGUCUGUAACAGACAAAGUGGAUGUUUGUUUCUUCUAAAGAAACAGCCGCGAUGGAUGUAAAAAUGUGUAAAAGAAAUUACAAGGCUGGACCACCAUACCAAGUUGAAUGGUUGCAUUCCAAAAAGGGCCUCUGAACAAGUUAAAUUUUUUAUUUUGUUUGAAUUUUGUAUUGUAUACUUAGUGAUUAUAUUUACGAUGUAACGUUACAUAUACUUUCACAUAUUUAAAAAACUCUGAACAA